UACGAAGGGGGCUAGCGUUGUCCGGAUUUAUUGGGCGUAAAGAGCGUGUAGGCGGCUUUGCAAGUCCGUUGUGAAAACUCGAGGCUCAACCUCGAGACGCCGGUGGAAACUGCAAAGCUAGAGUCCGGAAGAGGAGAGUGGAAUUCCUGGUGUAGCGGUGAAAUGCGUAGAUAUCAAGAGGAACACCUGAGGUGAAGACGGGUUGCUGGGCCGACACUGACGCUGAGUGCGCGAAAGCCAGGGGAGCAAACGGG
RNAcentral lists this ribosomal RNA (254 nucleotides) under uncultured bacterium. RNAcentral describes it as "partial 16S ribosomal RNA". It matches the Rfam family "Bacterial small subunit ribosomal RNA", at positions 524 to 776 of the family's 1533-position model. The record is from RNAcentral.